This 125-nucleotide small RNA is filed under the name Marmota monax (woodchuck). Lineage: Eukaryota; Metazoa; Chordata; Mammalia; Rodentia; Sciuridae. The record is from RNAcentral.
GCUGGGCAUGGUGGCGCACGCCUGUAAUCCCAGCAGCUCCAGAGGUUGAGGCAGGAGGAUUGCGAGUUCAAAGCCAGCUUCAGCAAAAGCGAGGUGCUAAGCAACUCAGUGAGACCCUGUCUCUA